This 253-nucleotide ribosomal RNA is filed under the name uncultured bacterium. Its description in RNAcentral is "partial 16S ribosomal RNA". It matches the Rfam family "Bacterial small subunit ribosomal RNA", at positions 524 to 776 of the family's 1533-position model. The record is from RNAcentral.
UACGUAGGUGACAAGCGUUGUCCGGAUUUACUGGGCGUAAAGAGCGCGCAGGCGGUCGAUCAAGUCGAGUGUGAAAGCCCCCGGCUCAACUGGGGAGGGUCAUUCGAUACUGAUCGACUCGAAGGCAGGAGAGGGUAGUGGAAUUCCCGGUGGAGCGGUGAAAUGCGUAGAGAUCGGGUGGAACACCAGCGGCGAAGGCGGCAUCCUGGCCCUGUACUGACGCUGAGGCGCGAUAGCGUGGGGAGCAAACGGG